Molecule: ribosomal RNA, 428 nt
Filed under: uncultured bacterium
Lineage: Bacteria
Description: bacterial SSU rRNA
Rfam family: Bacterial small subunit ribosomal RNA
Source: RNAcentral
UCGAGAAUUUUUCUCAAUGGGGGAAACCCUGAAGGAGCGACGCCGCGUGGGGGAUGAAGGGCUUCGGCCUGUAAACCCCUGUCACUUGGGAACAAACCUUUUGACCUAACACGUCAAGAGUUGAUAGUACCAGGAGAGGAAGGCACGGCUAACUCUGUGCCAGCAGCCGCGGUAAUACAGAGGUGCCAAGCGUUGUUCGGAUUUAUUGGGCGUAAAGGGUGCGUAGGUGGCGAUGCAAGUCGGAUGUGAAAUCCCGGAGCCUAACUCCGGAAUGGCAUUUGAAACUGCAUCGCUCGAGGUCUGGAGAGGUGACUGGAAUUCUCGGUAUAGCAGUGAAAUGCGUAGAUAUCGAGAGGAACACCAGAGGCGAAAGCGAGUCACUGGACAGAACCUGACACUGAGGCACGAAAGCCAGGGGAGCAAACGGG